UACGGGGGGUGCGAGCGUUGUCCGGAAUCACUGGGCGUAAAGGGCGCGUAGGUGGCGUCGUAAGUCUGUGGUGAAAGCCCGGAGCUCAACUCCGGGUCUGCCGCGGAUACUGCGAGGCUUGAGUGCUGUAGAGGGGGGUAGAAUGCCGGGUGUAGCGGUGGAAUGCGUAGAUAUCGGGAGGAACACCUGCGGUGUAGACGGCUUUCUGGACCAUUGUUGACGCUGAGACACGAAAGCGUGGGUAGCAAACAGG
This 253-nucleotide ribosomal RNA is filed under the name uncultured bacterium. RNAcentral describes it as "partial 16S ribosomal RNA". It matches the Rfam family "Bacterial small subunit ribosomal RNA", at positions 524 to 776 of the family's 1533-position model. The record is from RNAcentral.